UACGAAGGGGGCUAGCGUUGCUCGGAAUUACUGGGCGUAAAGCGCACGUAGGCGGCUUGUUAAGUCGGGGGUGAAAUCCUGGAGCUCAACUCCAGAACUGCCUUUGAUACUGAGAACCUUGAGUUCGGGAGAGGUGAGUGGAACUGCGAGUGUAGAGGUGAAAUUCGUAGAUAUCGGGAGGAACACCGGUGGCGAAGGCGGCCAUCUGGACGGAUACUGACGCUGAGACGCGAAAGCGUGGGUAGCAAACAGG
Molecule: ribosomal RNA, 253 nt
Filed under: uncultured bacterium
Lineage: Bacteria
Description: partial 16S ribosomal RNA
Rfam family: Bacterial small subunit ribosomal RNA
Source: RNAcentral